UGACCGCUGGCGGCGUGCCUACUACAUGCACGUCGAGCGAACAGACGAGGAGCUUGCUCCUCUGACGUUAGCGGCGGACGGGUGAGUAACACGUGGAUAACCUACCUAUAAGACUGGGAUAACUUCGGGAAACCGGAGCUAAUACCGGAUAAUAUAUUGAACCGCAUGGUUCAAUAGUGAAAGACGGUUUUGCUGUCACUUAUAGAUGGAUCCGCGCCGCAUUAGCUAGUUGGUAAGGUAACGGCUUACCAAGGCAACGAUGCGUAGCCGACCUGAGAGGGUGAUCGGCCACACUGGAACUGAGACACGGUCCAGACUCCUACGGGAGGCAGCAGUAGGGAAUCUUCCGCAAUGGGCGAAAGCUUGACGGAGCAACGCCGCGUGAGUGAUGAAGGUCUUCGGAUCGUAAAACUCUGUUAUUAGGGAAGAACAAAUGUGUAAGUAACUAUGCACGUCUUGACGGUACCUAAUCAGAAAGCCACGGCUAACUACGUG
Molecule: ribosomal RNA, 495 nt
Filed under: uncultured bacterium
Lineage: Bacteria
Description: partial 16S ribosomal RNA
Rfam family: Bacterial small subunit ribosomal RNA
Source: RNAcentral